Molecule: ribosomal RNA, 253 nt
Filed under: uncultured bacterium
Lineage: Bacteria
Description: partial 16S ribosomal RNA
Rfam family: Bacterial small subunit ribosomal RNA
Source: RNAcentral
UACGUAGGGGGCUAGCGUUGUCCGGAAUCAUUGGGCGUAAAGAGCGUGUAGGCGGCCCGGUAAGUCCGCUGUAAAAGUCAAAGGCUCAACCUUUGAAUGUCAGUGGAUACUGCCGGGCUAGAGUCCGGAAGAGGCGAGUGGAACUCCUGGUGUAGCGGUGGAAUGCGCAGAUAUCAGGAAGAACACCAACGGCGAAGGCAGCUCGCUGGGACGGUACUGACGCUGAGACGCGAAAGCGUGGGGAGCGAACGGG